GGGAUAAAUUCCCUGGAUGUGGCCGAGAAGGCUGAACAAAAAG
This 43-nucleotide non-coding RNA is filed under the name unclassified sequences. The record is from RNAcentral.